RNAcentral lists this long non-coding RNA (476 nucleotides) under Olea europaea subsp. europaea. Lineage: Eukaryota; Viridiplantae; Streptophyta; Magnoliopsida; Lamiales; Oleaceae. The record is from RNAcentral.
GUUAAGUUGUAAUUACUAACUAAUUUUUCAUGAGCUAUAAAUGAAAAGAUCCCAACAAGGACGUGAAUGGGUUGUGGGAAACGAACCUAUCCUCUAGAAUUGAUGUACAAGUAUGGUGCAUAGUAUAGGAUACGGAAUAUGAUCUGUGCUCUUGGGCAAUAUGGUAUGGAUUUCAACAUGCAUGGAGACUUCGAAAUUGGUGAGAAUGGGCUCAAUCUGAGUGGAAGUUACAAAUCUAGCCCAGCAAGGAAUGUUUUGGCUCUUUAGUCUCCUUGUGAAAUGUCCACAUUGGCAAGUAUAACCCUUUUGUAAAGUCCGUUAGCGAAAAGGAAUUGUGAUAGAUUUGUAAUUAAUAAUGGAACAUUAGUUUUUGUUUCAUUUUCUUAUUAAUAUUUAUGUAUGGGUGUUUCUUCAAGUCUUUAAGUAGUUGAUAAUUUUAUAAAUUGUAAGAGUUUGACUAAGUGCCGAAUCUCGUG